RNAcentral lists this ribosomal RNA (403 nucleotides) under Verrucomicrobiota bacterium. RNAcentral's name for it is "Verrucomicrobia bacterium partial 16S ribosomal RNA". It matches the Rfam family "Bacterial small subunit ribosomal RNA", at positions 355 to 776 of the family's 1533-position model. Lineage: Bacteria; Pseudomonadati; Verrucomicrobiota. The record is from RNAcentral.
UGGGGAAUAUUGCACAAUGGGCGCAAGCCUGAUGCAGCAACGCCGCGUGAACGAUGAAGGUCUUCGGAUCGUAAAGUUCUGUUGCAGGGGAAGAUAAUGACGGUACCCUGUGAGGAAGCCCCGGCUAACUACGUGCCAGCAGCCGCGGUAAUACGUAGGGGGCUAGCGUUAUCCGGAUUUACUGGGCGUAAAGGGUGCGUAGGUGGUCUUUCAAGUCGGUGGUUAAAGGCUACGGCUCAACCGUAGUUAGCCUCCGAAACUGGAAGACUUGAGUGCAGGAGAGGAAAGUGGAAUUCCCAGUGUAGCGGUGAAUUGCGUAGAUAUUGGGAGGAACACCAGUAGCGAAGGCGGCUUUCUGGACUGCAACUGACACUGAGGCACGAAAGCGUGGGUAGCAAACAGG